This is a non-coding RNA of Microcebus murinus (gray mouse lemur), 494 nucleotides long. Lineage: Eukaryota; Metazoa; Chordata; Mammalia; Primates; Cheirogaleidae. The record is from RefSeq and is a predicted model, not a curated record.
UAACAUCUGGCUCCUUGGAGGCCCCCAUCUAUACGGCUAAUUGUGCACAAAGAUUCCACAGACCAACUUUAUACAAGGACGUUGCUAUUUUAUUAUACAGCAUGGUUCUCACCAGCUGGUCCCAUUCCCUUAUGCUUCUUCAACUUCUGAAAGGAAUUGGAUUCUCCAAAUGUGUGAUUUGGGCACAACUUCUCCCCAAGAUGACUCCCCCGGUACAGGAAGCUGCCCUUAAAGGGGAAUUCAUGACAACUGAAUCUUCCUGGGAGCUUCUGCUUUUAGGCAGACAAGAAGCAGAGAAAGCUUCCUCCUGCAUCUUUGGAUUCUCAAAUGUCUUCAGUUGAAAAUAAUCCUUAUGCCACGAAGACAUUAAUAUGGACAAGCACAGCUACACACCAUAAAGAGGAAAAUCAAGGCAAGGAACCCAAUAAUUAUGGGAGAUAAAACUUGUCACUGCAGUAUCCAAAUAAAAUGGUAGAUGCCUUUGAAGGCCCUAA